CUGUUGCUUGGGAAACAAAAACAAACAAUGCGGCUCACCCCAUGAAAAGCAGUGCAUAAUCAACACCAGCCUAUUCAAGGAGAUCUGCUCGAAGUGAUGUAUGCUCUUUCACUCUGGGGGCAGGGAUGACUGCAGCCUUCAGCAAUUAAGAUACAGGAGAACAUUUUUGGACCAUUGGAUUCCCUGAAAAGAGGCACUGACUGAAGCAGCAAUAUGAGUUUGUCAGAGGUCGUCAAGCUGGAUGGGGAUGGAGGCUUUGGUGGUCCACACAACGAAGAAGCAGAUGUCCCUUCCAGUGAUGUGGAGCUGACCUUCGACCUCGUGCCAUAAAAACUACUUCGGGAUCUGUGUCCCUUCCACGGGACGGUUGAGCUAACGUAGGCUAACGCGAUUAGCAUGAGGUUGUAAGUAACACGAAAGUUGGCCGGGACAUAGACAUAUCUGAUAUUGGAAGAAAGCUUAAAUUCUAAAUAAUCUAACUGCACUGCCCAAUUUACAGUAGCUAUUACAGUGAAAGAAUACCAUGCUACUGUUUGAGGAGAGUGCACAAUUUUGAACAUGAAAAGUUAUUAAUAAACAAAUUAGGCACAUUUGGGCAGUCUUGAAACAACAUUUUGAACAGAAAUGCAAAGGGUCAUUGGAUCAGUCUAAAACUUUGCACAUGCACUGCUGCCAUCUAGUGGCCAAAAUCUAAAUUGCACCUCUUAAGGAUCCACCCCUUCUUUCAAUUUUCACCUAAAAUGACAUACCCACAUCUGACUGCCUGUAACUCAGGACCUGAAGCAAGGAUAUACAUAUUAUUGGUACCAUUUGAAAGGAAAGACUUUGACGUUUGUGGAGAUGUUAAAGGAAUGUAGGAAUAUAACACAAUAUAUCUGGUGAAAGAUAAUACAAAGAUGUCCGGUACAGACAGGGAUGACAGGGAGGGCAGCGGUUGUUCUGGCCCUGGUACCACUCUGAAUAAAUAAAUACUGUGCCUUUGAA
Salvelinus fontinalis (brook trout) is the source of this 984-nucleotide long non-coding RNA. RefSeq lists it as uncharacterized. NCBI's taxonomy places the organism in Eukaryota, Metazoa, Chordata, Actinopteri, Salmoniformes, Salmonidae. The transcript has 3 exons. The record is from RefSeq and is a predicted model, not a curated record.